RNAcentral lists this transfer RNA (72 nucleotides) under Psolodesmus mandarinus. RNAcentral's name for it is "tRNA-Val". It matches the Rfam family "tRNA". From Rfam's summary of the family: Transfer RNA (tRNA) molecules are approximately 80 nucleotides in length. The record is from RNAcentral. Lineage: Eukaryota; Metazoa; Arthropoda; Insecta; Odonata; Calopterygidae.
CGGAUUAAAGCUCUAUUGUAGAGUACCCCACUUACGCUGGGGAGGUAGAUUGUGCGAUUCAAUUUAAUCUGA